Molecule: transfer RNA, 62 nt
Filed under: Andrena chrysosceles
Lineage: Eukaryota; Metazoa; Arthropoda; Insecta; Hymenoptera; Andrenidae
Description: tRNA-Cys
Source: RNAcentral
AUUUCUAUAGUUUAAUGUAAAAUAUUAAAUUGCAAAUUUAAAGAUAAUGUUAUUUAGAAAUU